This 21-nucleotide microRNA is filed under the name Gyrodactylus salaris (gyrodactylosis fluke). RNAcentral's name for it is "gsa-miR-7-3p". Its record names the gene gsa-miR-7-3p. Lineage: Eukaryota; Metazoa; Platyhelminthes; Monogenea; Gyrodactylidea; Gyrodactylidae. The record is from miRBase by way of RNAcentral.
CAACCAUCCAAUUCUUCCGAA